This 1548-nucleotide unclassified non-coding RNA is filed under the name Hevea brasiliensis (rubber tree). The record is from RNAcentral. Lineage: Eukaryota; Viridiplantae; Streptophyta; Magnoliopsida; Malpighiales; Euphorbiaceae.
AAAAAAAAUUGGCCAUGUUGUUCUCUGUUUGUUUCCUCUUGAGCCCAGAUUACCAACUACCCCUUUCCUUCCUUCCUAAAAUCAUCAUAUACCAGUUAAUAUUCUUUUUUGCGUUUUAUUUAUAACCUCAAAACUGUUUUUACAUAGCAACACUCCUAGCCUUGCUCCCAAUACUUGGCUUCAAUGUACCCAUUCCUUCAAUCCCUUUGUUUAUAUGUCUCCACAGUUUCUCAAAGCAGCCAGCUUUCUUCUCUUCGGUUUUCAGGAAGGACCCGAUUCGAUCAAGCCCGUCUCUCUUGAUUUUGACGGCAGUUCAUGCACGUAUGACUUUCAACAGCGCCACUUCACCAUCGACUGCUGUGGUUUGUUUAAAUCUCUAUUGAUUCUUGAUGUUUGGUUAUUUGGAUGUGGAUUGAUAUUUUAUAAAUGAUGUUUUCCUUCUUCAACAAUGCGCAUGCUUUCUAGUAGUGAGUGAUCAUCGAUGACAAUGACUGAGGCUUCCUGUUUGGGUCUUGACAAAGAGUAUGACGAAGUGUGCACACCAGGGUUUAGAUUCCACCCAAGGGAUGAGGAGCUGGUUCUUUUAUACUUGAAGAGGAAAAUCUGCAAGAAAUGGCUACUGAAAGAUAUCAUCCGUGCGGUUGAUGUCUACUAGAGGGAUCCUGAGGAAUUACCUGGUAUAGUACUUUAAUGUUUUUGGCUAAUAUUGAUUUUUCCCUUUUUAUGGUGUACGUUGAUUUGGUUUUUUCCCUGUUUGAGUUAUGUAGCCUUUUCAUUCUGGUUUGUUUCGUUUUCUUGUUUGGUAUGGUAUUGAUUUGACCAGAUAGUAAUUGAUUUAUGUUCUCAACCAAAAUUGUUUUUCCCCCACAUGGAGCAUGAAUAAUUAGUAAUUAAUUGUGUUGACUUCAAUUGCUAGAUAUGAUUAUCAUUUUUUUUUAUUUGAUUGGAUAUUAAGCUCUCUGUGGUCAUUUCUGUGGGGAAAAAAAAGCCGUGUUUUUGCUUUAUUUCACAAAGACUCUAGCGCAAUAACAUAGCUCUUAGUUGAAUUGUGCUAUCCAUUCAUUUGGGUUUUUGGUGGAUUUGCUUUAUUUGUUCAUAUCAUUGAUGGGUUCAGGCACCCUGGAUUCUAGUUUUAUCAUAAAAAUGUUUGUUUGGUUGUUGUAUUGAAUAUUUAAGUGAUGUUGCUGUAUUGUUAAUGUAUUUUUGGUUUGUGAUGACCUGGGUAUGUGUUGUACUAACUACUAACAUUGACUUAGUAUUUGGGUUGAAUGAAUAAUGUUAAUAAAACAGUUUCGCUUAGCCUGCUGGUUUUGGGUAUGUGCAGAGAUUUGCUUUAUUAAUUGGUUUUGUGCAUUCAAUGUGAUGAUUGGUUUUGAUGUUACAACGGAUUUUGUUUUCAUGUAAGAAUUAUGGAAAUAAUUUUCAUGUUCAAUUGUUUCUAGUAAUCAUAUGUCACUAAAAAAUGAACUAUAUUUUCUGGGCAAUCCAUAUUGAAGACAAGAGAUAGACAAUAGUUCUUCUUCUGUCCAAGGGAUAGGAAGUAUCCUA